GUGCUCACUUCGACAGCACAUAUACUAAAAUUGGAACAAUACAGAGAAGAUUAGCUCCUGCUCAAGGAUGGUGCACAAAUUGGUGAAGCAUUCCAUACUUAA
Phyllostomus discolor (pale spear-nosed bat) is the source of this 102-nucleotide small nuclear RNA. The record is from RefSeq and is a predicted model, not a curated record. NCBI's taxonomy places the organism in Eukaryota, Metazoa, Chordata, Mammalia, Chiroptera, Phyllostomidae.